Long non-coding RNA from Junco hyemalis (dark-eyed junco), 1620 nucleotides. NCBI's taxonomy places the organism in Eukaryota, Metazoa, Chordata, Aves, Passeriformes, Passerellidae. The record is from Ensembl.
AUGCUGCAGUUCCCUCACCACUGUGGCUCCAGCACAGUGGCUGUGCCUAUGGGGCAGGGGGUGUGGGUGGUGGGGCCACAGCUGUGGCCAGAUGGGAAGUGGGCCCAUCCUGGUGCCAUUCCCAGGCCACACCCUCAGAGGGGUGUGUGUGUGCUGGCCGUCUGCCUUCUCCAAGCCUGGCUGCACAUGGCUCUGACCCCAGAAAUGCGUCCAGCCCCAGAACUGUCAGCCCUGGGAAGAGCUGAGCCCUGGGCAGGAGCUGCGGGGAGCUGGCAACAGUGCAGCCAUGCAGUGCAAGGAGUGCCAUGCUCGGUGCAGGUCUGCUUCCCAGAGGCAGGAGUGCAGCUCUGCUUCCCAGAGGCAGCAGAGCAGCAGCUGAGAAGCGUUUGCAGCAGCCCAGGGCUUUGGCCAGGGAGCCUCCCCAGCUCGCCAGCGUGUUGUGAAAUUGCUGCCGCAGCCUGUGGCCCCCAGGAGGAACUCGUGUGGUUUCAGAAGCCACAAGUGUCAGAGGGGCAUUUGCUGGCCCAGGCCCUCCUGACCCCUGACCAAGGGGGCUGUGGUUCCUGGCCUGCCCACGCUGACCUGGCUCAGGCCUGCCCAGGUCACAGGGCAGCAUCUCCUCACACCAGGACAGGUGUUUGGCUCUGUGCUGUCCCCACUUUGGUCCCCUUUAACACUGCCCCUAGGACAGGUCUGCCAGCAGGUAUGGCUUCAGAUCUGGGCCUGGCUGCUGUGGUUUGGGGGUCCUGGUGCCCCCUGUAUCCCUGUGCCAUGCCCUGGCACUGCUCUGCUGGGGGGCCCAGCCCUGCCCAGGGAGGGAGGGAGCCUGCUGGGGCAGCAGUCAGGAUGUGCUUGGGUGGAAAGAUCUGCAGAGGGGUUGGGGCCCUCCCAAGAACCCAGCCAGGCUGCUCCCCCCACCCUGUUUACAGUGUCAGCACCUCUGUGAGCCAUGCAGAGCUACAGGCCAGACAUGUGUUUUCAUUUAGGCCAGACAAUGACUCGGCCAGCGCUGGGCUGCGCUCCUCUCCAGACAGGACCUGUCCCCAGUGCUGCAGGCAGGCCUGGCUCUGGCCCCUGCACGUGGCCUGGGCAUCGUGCAGCACCUGGCCAGGGCACCCAGGAUGCGUUUGCAGCCCACACUGGGCGCCAGCUGGCCACAGUCCAUGCUGGCCACUCAACUGUCACUGGCACUUGGCAAGCUCUGCUGGCCUCAGUCACCCCCUGGCCUCAGGCACCCUCCCAGCCCAGCCCUGGCAGCUCCACAGCACCUGCUGUGGCCCCAGGGCUGUGCCAGUGGCUGUCCCUGCUGCCUGGUCCCUUCUUGGAGCCACCCCUGGGCCCCUGCCCUGGGCAGCAGCCCCAGGGCCAGCAGGAGUCCUGCUGCUGCUGCUGGAGCCCCUGCAGACCGUGGGCCCCCCAAUCCCCAGGUGCCAUCCAGCACCCGGCACUGUCAGUGCUGCCGCCUCCCACGUGUUCCCUGCAGGCUCAGGCAGGGUUGGGCCAGGUCCAGCUGUCCAGUUCUGCUGUUUCUUCCCCUCCUGGAGGCUGAGCAUCUCUGUUACUCCCUGUACUGCGUGUAUCCAUGGCAGUGCCGUGCAGCAGGCUGGCUCAGGAGCGUGU